RNAcentral lists this long non-coding RNA (309 nucleotides) under Trifolium pratense (red clover). RNAcentral describes it as "long non-coding RNA (TPRA_LNC006696)". The record is from RNAcentral. Lineage: Eukaryota; Viridiplantae; Streptophyta; Magnoliopsida; Fabales; Fabaceae.
AAUUUUAUAUGGUUUGGAUGAAUAAAGAAGUGAGAAGAGAGAAAUUAAUAAAAAUGAGAAAAUAACAAAUUUACCCUUUUUUACAAGAAAAUAAACUAGUUGAAUGAGGGUAUUGUUGUAAAAUUGUUUAUUUUACUACUUGUCACACAAAUCUCUCCUAAUAUGGAGAGAUUUAUUUUUGGCAGUUACUAACCAUUAUAUUUCCCUCUUUCCUUAUUUCUCUCCUUAUCCAAACUAUAGAAAUAACUAAUUUCUUUGCUAUCUCUCUCUUUCUUAUUUCUCUCUUUUGUAAAUCUACCUAAACAAACA